Gasterosteus aculeatus aculeatus (three-spined stickleback) is the source of this 1173-nucleotide long non-coding RNA. The record is from Ensembl. NCBI's taxonomy places the organism in Eukaryota, Metazoa, Chordata, Actinopteri, Perciformes, Gasterosteidae.
GCGACAACCGCGGAGGUGUGCCGUGUCCCCGAGCUGCCGCCGACCACCGCGGACGUGUUCCGUGUCCCCGAGCCGCCGCCGACAACCGCGGACGUGUUCCGUGUCCCCGAGCUGCUGCUGCCGCCGCCGCCGACCCCGGAGGUUUCCAGUGUCUCUGAGCCACCCAUUCCAGAGACGUUCCGUGCCCUGCAGUCGCCGCUCCGGAGCCGGCCUGGUGACCGUCCGCCGGGCCACCCGCCAGAGGCUCCCCACUCGUCUGGCCGCCCGCCGGGCCAUCCGCCAGAGUUUCCCGGGUGGUCUGACCAACGUCUCGGGUUUCCCUCCCUCCCACCCCUUUUCCGCUCUAGUGUGAGCCGUCUGGAAUUCGGCCCUUGAGGGGGGGGUACUGUCACGGUGAUCCCAUGGAAGCACAUUUGACAGUGGACAGAGGUGGAGGUCUAUGUCACGGUGUGGUUCACUUCCUGUUGUAUUUUGUAGUUUUCUGCCACUCGUGUCCCCGGGUAACUUCACUUCCUGCCUUGUCAUGUCAUCCCCUGUGAUCGUCUAAUAGUUUCCACCUGUGUCCAAUCACCUGCACCUCCCUAGUGUAUUUAAGCCAUGUGUGUCUGUUGUCACUUGUGGCGUCAUUGUCUUUCGCCACGCAUGUCCUUGUCUCUCGUCGUUCGCAGUUCCUGUCUCCCGUUUGGGCCCUUGGCCUUUGCUUUAACCUUUUUGAAAAGUCCCUUUUGUUUUUGAGCUCUGCGUCUGAGUCCUACCUCCCCCGCAAUCCCUGACAGUCUAGAAGGAGGAAUUGUUCCAGAGAUAUUCACUGUUACAUUUUUUUACACUUUUAGUGUAUUGUAAACUGCUGUAGCCCAAAACGACAGUAAACACGGCUAAAUGCUCUCUCAUAUCCUUAAACAUCAGUGUAGCGGCCGUCUGCCACUUCCUGUGUGUGAUUGUUGGUACUUUUAUUUUGAAAUGUAAUUAGCAUCAGAGUCACGUGGGCAGGUGUGCAGUAGUUUAUGAGUGUAGGCAUCUAGGCGGAGUGAUGGUUGUAUGGACAUGGGGGUGAGUCGGGAGACGAUACUUUUUGUUGACCGUAUCCUACAGUGCACUUUAUUGUAUCGUCGCACAUCAUGUAUCACUUCGCCUGCUUGGAUGUUUUUUAACUUGACUUUCGGACAAUAAAAU